AGCACGCGCAGACCCUUACCAGGUCUUGACAUCCUUUGCACCACCCAAGAGAUUGGGCUUCCCCUUCGGGGGCAAAGUGACGGGGGGUGCAUGGUUGUCCUCAGCUCGUGUCGGGAGAUGUUGGGUUAAGCCCCGCAACGAGCGCAACCCUUGAUCUUAGUUGCCAGCAUUAAGUUGGGCACUCUAAGGGGACUGCCGGGGACAAACCGGAGGAAGGGGGGGAUGACGUCAAAUCAUCGUGCCCCUUAUGACCGGGGCUACACACGUGCUACAAGGGAGGGUACAAAGGGCAGCGAACCCGCGAGGGGAACCCAAUCCCAUAAAGCCAUUCUCAGUUCGGAUUGCGGGCUGCAACUCCCCUGCAUGAAGCCGGAAUUGCUAGUAAUCGCGGAUCAGCAUGCCGCGGUGAAUACUUUCCCGCC
Molecule: ribosomal RNA, 422 nt
Filed under: Shouchella clausii
Lineage: Bacteria; Bacillati; Bacillota; Bacilli; Caryophanales; Bacillaceae
Description: bacterial SSU rRNA
Rfam family: Bacterial small subunit ribosomal RNA
Source: RNAcentral